Molecule: non-coding RNA, 265 nt
Organism: Plectropomus leopardus (leopard coralgrouper)
Lineage: Eukaryota; Metazoa; Chordata; Actinopteri; Perciformes; Serranidae
Source: RefSeq, a predicted model, not a curated record
UUAAAAACAACAACAAGGCAGAGUGAAGGAGCGCAGCUGAGGACGACAGGAAGUGAAUUUGAGAGAGAACGAGUGACAGGAAGAUAAGAAAAGGGAGAGAGAGCCUGAGAUUUAAGAUCUGCAGGUGAAAGUUUGUCACCUUUGAACCACUGGAGGACGUACGCUGAGGCUGAGAAAUAAGACUCUGACAGAGACCAAGAGGACAGCCAUGUUUUCAGCCAGACCAGAGAUCCAGCCGUAAAAGACAAGAGGCGGUCGCCCCCCU